UCUUUUUUAUGAGAGUCUGACGGAGCACGCCGCGUGAGUGAUGAAGGCUUUCGGGUCGUAAAACUCUGUUGUUAGGGAAGAACAAGUGCUAGUUGAAUAAGCUGGCACCUUGACGGUACCUAACCAGAAAGCCACGGCUAACUACGUGCCAGCAGCCGCGGUAAUACGUAGGUGGCAAGCGUUAUCCGGAAUUAUUGGGCGUAAAGCGCGCGCAGGUGGUUUCUUAAGUCUGAUGUGAAAGCCCACGGCUCAACCGUGGAGGGUCAUUGGAAACUGGGAGACUUGAGUGCAGAAGAGGAAAGUGGAAUUCCAUGUGUAGCGGUGAAAUGCGUAGAGAUAUGGAGGAACACCAGUGGCGAAGGCGACUUUCUGGUCUGUAACUGACACUGAGGCGCGAAAGCGUGGGGAGCAAACAGGAUUAGAUACCCUGGUAGUCCACGCCGUAAACGAUGAGUGCUAAGUGUUAGAGGGUUUCCGCCCUUUAGUGCUGAAGUUAACGCAUUAAGCACUCCGCCUGGGGAGUACGGCCGCAAGGCUGAAACUCAGGAAAUUUUACGGGGAAAAAAGAAAAGGAAAAAGGAGGAAAUUUU
This 590-nucleotide ribosomal RNA is filed under the name Bacillus sp. (in: firmicutes). RNAcentral describes it as "bacterial SSU rRNA". It matches the Rfam family "Bacterial small subunit ribosomal RNA", at positions 362 to 952 of the family's 1533-position model. Lineage: Bacteria; Bacillati; Bacillota; Bacilli; Caryophanales; Bacillaceae. The record is from RNAcentral.